Molecule: ribosomal RNA, 253 nt
Filed under: uncultured bacterium
Lineage: Bacteria
Description: partial 16S ribosomal RNA
Rfam family: Bacterial small subunit ribosomal RNA
Source: RNAcentral
UACAGAGGGUGCGAGCGUUGUUCGGAAUUAUUGGGCGUAAAGAGCUCGUAGGCGGCCUGUCGCGUCGGUUGUGAAAGCCCGGGGCUCAACCCCGAGUCUGCAGUCGAUACGGGCAGGCUAGAGUUCGGUAGGGGAGAUCGGAAUUCCUGGUGUAGCGGUGAAAUGCGCAGAUAUCAGGAGGAACACCGGUGGCGAAGGCGGAUCUCUGGGCCGACACUGACGCUGAGGAGCGAAAGCGUGGGGAGCGAACAGG